AAAAAAGUGGUGUGUCAAAAAGUAUGUCUGACAUAGUAUAAAACCUUUGAAACAAUUGUUGAAAAAUAAUAUAAGGCCCAAAGAGUAAAAAGCAAAAAAAUGAGGUAUAUGACUAAUCAUGUGGGUGCAGUGGAAAAAAAUUAAAAAUAAAAUAAAGCGGGUGUGAGUGAAUAUGAAAAGCGCGAGGUGCAAAUAAGGUGGGUGUGUGCAGCGGAAUCGCGGGUGCAAGUAUUAAAAUGUGCGAUCCAGCGCAAAACAAAUUAUAGGAGAUAAAGUGUGUGCAGCAAGCAGCGCCAGCCACUGCCAUCGAAUCUCUGCCGUACCACAAGCCAUGCCGUCCUCUGCCUACUAUUUAAAAAUGGAAAAACAAAUUUAUAAAAAAAUGUAUAAAAAGAAGAAUAAGACGGUUUCAUCCUCCACCUCCAAGUAUUUGAUCCUGCACCUAUAAUUUUCUAAUAUACCCUUUAUUAAGUUAGGUAUUUAUUUAAUAAUUUUUUGUUUAUUAAAAUUUUUUUUGUCCAAUUGACUGCAUCUCCAUUUUCCUCGUAUCACCAAACAUGCAUUUCUACACUUUGCACCUUUACAUUGACUACACUCUUACACAAUUGACUACACCCCUGCACCCCUCCACCCCAUUUCAUUUUUAUUAAGAGACGUAACACCCC
This 665-nucleotide long non-coding RNA is filed under the name Vigna radiata. RNAcentral's name for it is "long non-coding RNA (VRAD_LNC000451)". Lineage: Eukaryota; Viridiplantae; Streptophyta; Magnoliopsida; Fabales; Fabaceae. The record is from RNAcentral.